This 440-nucleotide ribosomal RNA is filed under the name uncultured bacterium. RNAcentral describes it as "bacterial SSU rRNA". It matches the Rfam family "Bacterial small subunit ribosomal RNA", at positions 338 to 795 of the family's 1533-position model. The record is from RNAcentral.
CCUACGGGAUGCACCAGUGGGGAAUAUUGGACAAUGGGCGAAAGCCUGAUCCAGCAAUGCCGCGUGUGUGAAGAAGGUCUUCGGAUCGUGAAGCACUUCCGACGGGGACGAUGAUGACGGUACCCGUAGAAGAAGCCCCGGCUAACUUCGUGCCAGCAGCCGCGGUAAUACGAAGGGGGAUAGCGUUGCUCGGAAUGACUGGGCGUAAAGGGCGCGUAGGCGGUUUAUGCAGUCAGAUGUGAAAUCCCCGGGCUUAACCUGGGAACUGCAUUUGAGACGCAUAGACUAGAGGUCGAGAGAGGGUUGUGGAAUUCCCAGUGUAGAGGUGAAAUUCGUAGAUAUUGGGAAGAACACCGGUGGCGAAGGCGGCAACCUGGCUCGAUACUGACGCUGAGGCGCGAAAGCGUGGGGAGCAAACAGGAUUAGAUACCCUCGUAGUC